RNAcentral lists this long non-coding RNA (476 nucleotides) under Linum usitatissimum (flax). RNAcentral describes it as "long non-coding RNA (LUSI_LNC002601)". The record is from RNAcentral. Lineage: Eukaryota; Viridiplantae; Streptophyta; Magnoliopsida; Malpighiales; Linaceae.
AUAAGUCUGAAUAAUCUCGAUAACAAAUCAAGGGGUUAAACCUCCAUCAUCCAUAGAAAAGCUUGACUAAAGCUUCAUCUCAUCCAAACAACACGAAAAGUUUAGCUACUCAUGGUUCGCAAAGCAAGAAGGGAAGAAGGAAGGAGAAUAACCCGGAAAGAAAACAUGUUCCGUCAAGAAUUCUCAAUCUUUAUCGCCGAUCUUCGCUCCUUCUCCAAUCGUUGAUGUUCUCUCACUUCAAUCGAUCUCUGAAACUCUUUCUCUCUCUCAGAACUCGAAAAUAUGUCUAGAAUGAUAGAUAUCUCGUCCAAAGGACUGCUCGGGCUUUAUAUAUGUCUACAUGAAGAAAAAGCAUAGGCUUCGAAAAAGCUCGUAAAUCUACGACAGUUUUCCAUUCACCCUAUCCAUUUUCCGAACAUGUUAUACUUAAAUCAAUUGAAUGUUGGGUACCCUUGGCAUGAAUUGCAACCUUGCCA